GGGAUGUGGCUCAGUGGUAGAGCACCUUUCUGGCAUGUGGUAGGCCCUGGGUUUGAUCCCCAGUUCCCA
RNAcentral lists this transfer RNA (69 nucleotides) under Heterocephalus glaber (naked mole-rat). It matches the Rfam family "tRNA". Rfam says of the family: Transfer RNA (tRNA) molecules are approximately 80 nucleotides in length. The record is from Rfam by way of RNAcentral. Lineage: Eukaryota; Metazoa; Chordata; Mammalia; Rodentia; Bathyergidae.